UACGUAGGUGGCGAGCGUUGUCCGGAUUUACUGGGCGUAAAGAGCGCGCAGGCGGUCGUUCAAGUCGCGUGUGAAAGCCCCCGGCUCAACUGGGGAGGGUCACGCGAUACUGAUCGACUCGAAGGCAGGAGAGGGUAGUGGAAUUCCCGGUGUAGUGGUGAAAUGCGUAGAUAUCUGGAGGAAUACCGGUGGCGAAGGCGGCAUCCUCGGACCGACAUUGACGCUGAUGAGCGAAAGGCUAGGGGAGCAAACGGGG
This 256-nucleotide ribosomal RNA is filed under the name uncultured bacterium. RNAcentral's name for it is "partial 16S ribosomal RNA". It matches the Rfam family "Bacterial small subunit ribosomal RNA", at positions 524 to 777 of the family's 1533-position model. The record is from RNAcentral.